AGAUCGGUCUAUGAAUCCCGUCCUAGGUAUAGGCUCAUACCUGUCAUACCGCUCAUAUCCAAUAAGGAAGCGGAAUAUCUGUGAUUGAUUGCAGAGUUUGAUACGCCCGAUACGCGCGUAUUGCACGUAUUGAGGUGCCUUUUCACGCUGACGCUUGACCACUGAUCUCAUUAAAGUGGAUAUGGCAUAGGACGAAAUAAGUGUGACCAAUUGAAGGUUGUAGUCUCUGUACACAAUAUGGCGGUGUAUACGAAUACGAACACAGUUUACUGUGACGAUGAUACGAAAUUCCACGUGUAAUUAAUUAUCUAUAGACGUAGAUGUGUAGCAGUUUUAUCCAAAAUAUUACUUUUUUUAUAAUAAAAAUAGUAAAAUAGUAAAAUAGUGAGAUUCCAAAAUUAAAAAAUGUGUUUAUUGUGGAAAAGGAAGUGAAAAUAAACAACAAACGUUUCAUAGCUGCAAGUAUGGAUUACUACAACACAAUUAAGGACACGAGGACAAAAUAAGCUAUAACAAUACCCUUUAAACUUAUUUAUAAGUUUAGUAGUAGUAGUAUUAUUUAUUAGUAAAAUUAUUUAACAAGAUGGUCAUAAAUAAAAAUUUACGAUUUUUAGAC
Monomorium pharaonis (pharaoh ant) is the source of this 616-nucleotide long non-coding RNA. RefSeq lists it as uncharacterized. The record is from RefSeq and is a predicted model, not a curated record. The transcript has 2 exons. Lineage: Eukaryota; Metazoa; Arthropoda; Insecta; Hymenoptera; Formicidae.